UACGGGGGGGGCAAGCGUUGUUCGGAAUUACUGGGCGUAAAGGGCUCGUAGGCGGCCAACUAAGUCAGACGUGAAAUCCCCAGGCUCAACCUGGGAACUGCGUCUGAUACUGGAUGGCUUGAAUCCGGGAGAGGGAUGCAGAAUUCCAGGUGUAGCGGUGAAAUGCGUAGAUAUGACAUAGAACACCAAUUGCGAAGGCAGCUGGCUACACGAAUAUUGACACUGAUGCACGAAAGCGUGGGGAUCAAACAGG
RNAcentral lists this ribosomal RNA (253 nucleotides) under uncultured bacterium. Its description in RNAcentral is "partial 16S ribosomal RNA". It matches the Rfam family "Bacterial small subunit ribosomal RNA", at positions 524 to 776 of the family's 1533-position model. The record is from RNAcentral.